RNAcentral lists this ribosomal RNA (487 nucleotides) under uncultured bacterium. RNAcentral describes it as "bacterial SSU rRNA". It matches the Rfam family "Bacterial small subunit ribosomal RNA", at positions 21 to 507 of the family's 1533-position model. The record is from RNAcentral.
GGCUCAGGAUGAACGCUGGCGGCGUGCCUAACACAUGCAAGUCGAACGAAGCACUUUUUUACGAUCCCUUCGGGGUGACGAAUUUGUGACUGAGUGGCGGACGGGUGAGUAACGCGUGGGAAACCUGCCUUGUACCGGGGGAUAGCAGUUGGAAACGACUGAUAAUACCGCAUAAGCGCACAGUAUCACAUGAUACAGUGUGAAAAACUCCGGUGGUACAAGAUGGUCCCGCGUCUGAUUAGCUUGUUGGCGGGGUAAUGGCCCACCAAGGCGACGAUCAGUAGCCGACCUGAGAGGGUGACCGGCCACAUUGGGACUGAGACACGGCCCAAACUCCUACGGGAGGCAGCAGUGGGGAAUAUUGCACAAUGGAGGAAACUCUGAUGCAGCGACGCCGCGUGAGCGAUGAAGUAUUUCGGUAUGUAAAGCUCUAUCAGCAGGGAAGAUAAUGACGGUACCUGAGUAAGAAGCUCCGGCUAAAUACGUG